CGGCGAGAGAGCGACGGCAAGAGGGGGCCUACUUUCGCCUGGAAAGUAGGUGUCACUCGGCGAACGCGGCUUGUGAAGGCACGCGGACAAGCCCGACCCACUGCGUGCUGGCUCAGAUCGGAGAAGAUACGAGCAGCGAAACUCCUUUCCCCCUCUCCGCACGCACACACGCACGUAGUAUGGGUGAGGAAUGACCAAAGAAGAGAACGAACCCCACAAGUGAGGAGGAAAGGUCGUAUGGCAAGAGCAAGAUAUCAGGAAGGAGCAAGACAAAACAAACAAAAUAUGAAACAUUGGUGGCUGUGCGGGAGGAGGAAGUCGCCUCUGCCCGGCCGUUCACGCACACACACACACACACACACACAUAUAUACACGCACGUGAAUGUGCACGCAUAGAUGCUGGCGCACUCGCGCUCCGUGAAAAGAGCACUGAGCUCGAAUCGCGAGCUCCAUGGCUUCAUGCCUUGGUUUUCCACCCCUUUUUUGUUUUUUUUAUGUCCUUGUCAUGUCGGUGUCGGCACGGAUGCGCGCGGAGCGACACGAUGAUGCAUCGCGUCGUGCGAGACCAUUUCUAGUCUUGUGUGUGUGUGUGUGUGCGUGUUUGUAUGUGUGCUUUUCUCUCUAUCUGUGUGUUUGUAGCUGUGAGCGUGAGGGGGUGUUUCGUUCACCCAGCUGCAUCGACUGUGAGUGAGCGAGCAU
Molecule: unclassified non-coding RNA, 699 nt
Filed under: Leishmania donovani
Lineage: Eukaryota; Euglenozoa; Kinetoplastea; Trypanosomatida; Trypanosomatidae
Description: gene:unknown
Source: RNAcentral